GACAGAGUGAAUGCUGUAAUCCAGAGGUUGAUUCUAGAGGUGGAACAAACCAGAGAGGUGUUAAGAAGGGUGAAAGAAGAAAUGGAACUGAGCAAGGGGGAGUUAAAAGGGGAAAAGGACAAAAUCAGACUGAUGAAGACGGAGACACAAAAAAGAAAAAAAGAGCUGGAGCAAAGGAUGGAGAAGAUCAUGCGAGAGAGGGACAAAAUCAGACUGAUGAAGACGGAGACACAAAAAAGAAAAAAAGAGCUGGAGCAAAGGAUGGAGAAGAUCAUGCGAGAGAGGGAUGAGUUAGAACUGGUGAAGUCAAAGAUACAGAGACAACGGGAAGAGCUGAAACAGAAGAUGGAAGAUGGAAAGACUGAGAGUGAAAAGAUGGAACAGAUGAAAGAUGAAAUACAGAGAGCGGUUGCAGAGAUAGACCUGGCAAGGGAGGAGAUACAAAGGGAAAAAAGGAAGAUUAAAGAGGACAAUGCAAGGGAAGAGAAGGAUAUGAUGGAGUCUAUGAAAGCUGAGCUUGACAGACAGAAAGAGGGAAAAAACAGAAGGAAAAAAGAAAUGCCAAUGAUGAAGACCACGGUCCAGAGGCCACAGGAUGAAACAGAGAAAGCCUACCUUGGAGAUACAACAACUGAGAUACCAUUUGAGUCACAAGAGCUAAGAACCGCCAUUGAAAAAGAAAGAAGAGACUUGGAACGCAGAGAGAAAAUGAUUAUGAGAGAGAAGUAUGACCUGGAAAAGUCAAAAGCCGAGUUUGAGAAGGAAAAGGCGGGGAUGGAGAACAUGAUCACAAAACAACGAGAGGAGAGCAGACAAAUGAUUGAGGACAUAGAAAAGAAAAAAGAAAAUCUCGAGCAAAUGGAUGCAGAGAUGCAAAGGAAAAGACAGGUCAUCGUAAGGGAAAUGCAAUAUAAAACACAAAAGAUGCAGGAUUUAAAAAAAGCAAAAGAUAAAUUUAAACAAACGCAAGUUAAAUUUAGCAAAGAGAAAAUUGAAAUGGGAAACAUCAAAAAGGCUACCUUGGCGGAAAGAAAUAAACUAGCAGUAGAGCAAGCUUACAUAGAGAAACGUAAGGAGGAGAUGGAAGCCAUCCUGGAAACGACAAAGAAGGAGAAUGAAGAUCUGCUGAACUUAAAAGCUCAAAUAGAGGGAUGGAAAGAAGACAAAGACGAACGGGGUGAACGCCUGAACAGGGAGAGAAAGGAACUUGAAUAUCUGAAAAGUAAGAUUCAAAAAGAAAAAGAGGAUACGAUAAGAAACAGGAACAUUUCGGAAAAAGAGAAAAAGGACUUGGAGCUGAUGAGAUCUGAAAUGCAGAAAGAAAAGGGGAAGAUGGAACAAGAGAAGCUUAAGGUACAAGUUGAGAGACAAAAGCUUGAACAAAUGAAACUGGAGUUACAGAGAAAGUCCAACGACCUAGAUAUGAUCAUAGAAGACACAAAGAGGGAGAAAGUCAGUGCAUCACAAAUUCCUGUCCAAAUACAACAACAAAAGAACCAAAUUGAUUGUUUUGUGGAAGAGACAAAGAGGAGUAAAAUCGAAGAAGAAUUGAUGAGCGCUGAAAUAAAAAGACAGAAAGAGGAGAUAGACAGCAAACAAGACAUUCUAUCAAAUGAGAGAGAAGAUCUGAAUAAACUCAGAACAGAGGUAAACAAUCAGAGAGAAGAGAUUGAAAAUAUCACGCAAGAGCAAAUUAAAGAAACAUUUCUAAUUAAUCAGACAAAGACAGAGAUGGAAAAAGAGAGAUGUGAGAUGGACAGAAUAAAGAAAAUGAUAGAGCAGAAUAUGGAUGAGCUAGAGCAGAGAAAGUGUGAGAUGAGAAAAGUAGAAAACAUAAUUAUCGAACUGAGAAAAGAAGAAGAGAGUAUAACGAAUGAGAUGAACAGGAUGAGAAAGAACACAGAGCAGAAAAGUUUUGAAAUGCAGAGACGGUCUGAAGACAUGAAUCAGCUAAUGGAUGAGACAAGACGGGAGAGGGGGAAGGUUGAAGAACUGGCUAUCCAAACUCAAAAACAAAGAGAAGAAAUGGUGGGUUUUAUGGAAAAGAACAAACAAAAGCAGAACGAACUGGAACUCAUGACUGACAAGAUUGAAAGAGAGAAACAAGACAUCGAAGACAGUCGGGAUGUGCUAACAAAGGAGAGAGAGGAGCUGGAACAAAUGAGGAGUGAGAUACAGCAACAGAGAGAGGAGACAGAAUCUCACAUGGAAGACCAAAGGAAAGAGAAAGAACAUUUGGAACAAAUGACGACGGACAUGAAAAAACAGUUGCUAGAGGUGGACAAUGACAAGGAAAUGAUACAAAGCUCAAUGGGUGAACUGAGAGUGAAAGAGGCAGAAAUGGUGAGAGAAAAAGACAACAUGGAUAACAAGAUGGCUAGGCUCAAAGAGGAAGAGGAUAGAAUGCGGGAAGAAAUAGGAAGGAAGAUGGACAUCUUAAAGCAGGAAAGUUGUGAAAUCAAAAGACUUAGAGAUGAAAUUGACAGUGAAAAGGACCAGCUGAAUGCAAAAUUGCUUGAGUUGGAAAAAAUGCAUGAAGAACUAGAUAGAGAGAAGAAGGAAGUGAAAGACAGGAAGGAUGAAACACUGAAAGAGAAAGAUCAGUUGGAAGAGAGGCGAGGUAAGAUAAGUAAGGAGAAAGAGGAUAUCAGUCUUGAACUGAUGAAAAGACAAAGGGAAGACUUGAUGAGCUUGAAGGCUGAAGCAGAAGUACAGACCGAGCCUAUGGAAACAGACUGGAAGGAAAAGCUCACGAGGGAAAGACAACAACUUGAAGAUGUAAAGGAGGAGAUACAGAAGGAAAAAGAAGCCUUUGAGAGAAAGAAGGGAUUGGCCAUGAAAGAAAGAGAUGAGUUUGAUCUGAUGAAGUCUGAAACCCAGGGACAAUUGGAGGAAAUAGAACAAAACAAACAAGACAUUCGUGUGGAGAAGGAAAAGCUGGAUCAGAUCAAAGCUGAGUUAGAAAGACGGUCUGAAGACAUCAAUCAGCUCAUGGUUGAGACAAGACGGGAGAGGGGGAAGGUUGAAGAACUGGCUAUCCAAACUAAAAAACAAAGAGAAGAAAUGGUGGGUUUUAUGGAAAAGAACAAACAAAAGCAAAACGAACUGGAACUCAUGACUGACAAGAUUGAAAGAGAGAAACAAGACAUCGAAGACAGUCGAGAUGUGCUAACAAAGGAGAGAGAGGAGCUGGAACAAAUGAGGAGUGAGAUACAGCAACAGAGAGAGGAGACAGAAUCUCACAUGGAAGACCAAAGGAAAGAGAAAGAACAUUUGGAACAAAUGACGACGGACAUGAAAAAACAGUUGCUAGAGGUGGACAAUGACAAGGAAAUGAUACAAAGCUCAAUGGGUGAACUGAGAGUGAAAGAGGCAGAAAUGGUGAGAGAAAAAGACAACAUGGAUAACAAGAUGGCUAGGCUCAAAGAGGAAGAGGAUAGAAUGCGGGAAGAAAUAGGAAGGAAGAUGGACAUCUUAAAGCAGGAAAGUUGUGAAAUCAAAAGACUUAGAGAUGAAAUUGACAGUGAAAAGGACCAGCUGAAUGCAAAAUUGCUUGAGUUGGAAAAAAUGCAUGAAGAACUAGAUAGAGAGAAGAAGGAAGUGAAAGACAGGAAGGAUGAAACACUGAAAGAGAAAGAUCAGUUGGAAGAGAGGCGAGGUAAGAUAAGUAAGGAGAAAGAGGAUAUCAGUCUUGAACUGAUGAAAAGACAAAGGGAAGACUUGAUGAGCUUGAAGGCUGAAGCAGAAGUACAGACCGAGCCUAUGGAAACAGACUGGAAGGAAAAGCUCACGAGGGAAAGACAACAACUUGAAGAUGUAAAGGAGGAGAUACAGAAGGAAAAAGAAGCCCUUGAGAGAAAGAAGGGAUUGACCAUGAAAGAAAGAGAUGAGUUUGAUCUGAUGAAGUCUGAAACCCAGGGACAAUUGGAGGAAAUAGAACAAAACAAACAAGACAUUCGUGUGGAGAAGGAAAAGCUGGAUCAGAUCAAAGCUGAGUUAGAAAGACGGUCUGAAGACAUCAAUCAGCUCAUGGAUGAGACAAGACGGGAGAGGGGGAAGGUUGAAGAACUGGCUAUCCAAACUCAAAAACAAAGAGAAGAAAUGGUGGGUUUUAUGGAAAAGAACAAACAAAAGCAGAACGAACUGGAACUCAUGACUGACAAGAUUGAAAGAGAGAAACAAGACAUCGAAGACAGUCGGGAUGUGCUAACAAAGGAGAGAGAGGAGCUGGAACAAAUGAGGAGUGAUAUACAGCAACAGAGAGAGGAGACAGAAUCUCACAUGGAAGACCAAAGGAAAGAGAAAGAACAUUUGGAACAAAUGACGACGGACAUGAAAAAACAGUUGCUAGAGGUGGACAAUGACAAGGAAAUUAUACAAAGCUCAAUGGGUGAACUGAGAGUGAAAGAGGCAGAAAUGGUGAGAGAAAAAGACAACAUGGAUAACAAGAUGGCUAGGCUCAAAGAGGAAGAGGAUAGAAUGCGGGAAGAAAUAGGAAGGAAGAUGGACAUCUUAAAGCAGGAAAGUUGUGAAAUCAAAAGACUUAGAGAUGAAAUUGACAGUGAAAAGGACCAGCUGAAUGCAAAAUUGCUUGAGUUGGAAAAAAUGCAUGAAGAACUAGAUAGAGAGAAGAAGGAAGUGAAAGACAGGAAGGAUGAAACACUGAAAGAGAAAGAUCAGUUGGAAGAGAGGCGAGGUAAGAUAAGUAAGGAGAAAGAGGAAUUGGAUAUCAGUCUUGAACUGAUGAAAAGACAAAGGGAAGACUUGAUGAGCUUGAAGGCUGAAGCAGAAGUACAGACCGAGCCUAUGGAAACAGACUGGAAGGAAAAGCUCACGAUGGAAAGACAACAACUUGAAGAUGUAAAGGAGGAGAUACAGAAGGAAAAAGAAGCCUUUGAGAGAAAGAAGGGAUUGACCAUGAAAGAAAGAGAUGAGUUUGAUCUGAUGAAGUCUGAAACCCAGGGACAAUUGGAGGAAAUAGAACAAAACAAACAAGACAUUCGUGUGGAGAAGGAAAAGGUGGAUCAGAUCAAAGCUGAGUUAGAAAGACGGUCUGAAGACAUCAAUCAGCUCAUGGAUGAGACAAGACAGGAGAGGGGGAAGGUUGAAGAACUGGCUAUCCAAACUCAAAAACAAAGAGAAGAAAUGGUGGGUUUUAUGGAAAAGAACAAACAAAAGCAGAACGAACUGGAACUCAUGACUGACAAGAUUGAAAGAGAGAAACAAGACAUCGAAGACAGUCGGGAUGUGCUAACAAAGGAGAGAGAGGAGCUGGAACAAAUGAGGAGUGAGAUACAGCAACAGAGAGAGGAGACAGAAUCUCACAUGGAAGACCAAAGGAAAGAGAAAGAACAUUUGGAACAAAUGACGACGGACAUGAAAAAACAGUUGCUAGAGGUGGACAAUGACAAGGAAAUGAUACAAAGCUCAAUGGGUGAACUGAGAGUGAAAGAGGCAGAAAUGGUGAGAGAAAAAGACAACAUGGAUAACAAGAUGGCUAGGCUCAAAGAGGAAGAGGAUAGAAUGCGGGAAGAAAUAGGAAGGAAGAUGGACAUCUUAAAGCAGGAAAGUUGUGAAAUCAAAAGACUUAGAGAUGAAAUUGACAGUGAAAAGGACCAGCUGUAUGCAAAAUUGCUUGAGUUGGAAAAAAUGCAUGAAGAACUAGAUAGAGAGAAGAAGGAAGUGAAAGACAGGAAGGAUGAAACACUGAAAGAGAAAGAUCAGUUGGAAGAGAGGCGAGGUAAGAUAAGUAAGGAGAAAGAGGAAUUGGAUAUCAGUCUUGAACUGAUGAAAAGACAAAGGGAAGACUUGAUGAGCUUGAAGGAUGAAGCAGAAGUACAGACCGAGCCUAUGGAAACAGACUGGAAGGAAAAGCUCACGAGGGAAAGACAACAACUUGAAGAUGUAAAGGAGGAGAUACAGAAGGAAAAAGAAGCCUUUGAGAGAAAGAAGGGAUUGACCAUGAAAGAAAGAGAUGAGUUUGAUCUGAUGAAGUCUGAAACCCAGGGACAAUUGGAGGAAAUAGAACAAAACAAACAAGACAUUCGUGUGGAGAAGGAAAAGCUGGAUCAGAUCAAAGCUGAGUUAGAAAGACGGUCUGAAGACAUCAAUCAGCUCAUGGAUGAGACAAGACAGGAGAGGGGGAAGGUUGAAGAACUGGCUAUCCAAACUCAAAAACAAAGAGAAGAAAUGGUGGGUUUUAUGGAAAAGAACAAACAAAAGCAGAACGAACUGGAACUCAUGACUGACAAGAUUGAAAGAGAGAAACAAGACAUCGAAGACAGUCGGGAUGUGCUAACAAAGGAGAGAGAGGAGCUGGAACAAAUGAGGAGUGAGAUACAGCAACAGAGAGAGGAGACAGAAUCUCACAUGGAAGACCAAAGGAAAGAGAAAGAACAUUUGGAACAAAUGACGACGGACAUGAAAAAACAGUUGCUAGAGGUGGACAAUGACAAGGAAAUGAUACAAAGCUCAAUGGGUGAACUGAGAGUGAAAGAGGCAGAAAUGGUGAGAGAAAAAGACAACAUGGAUAACAAGAUGGCUAGGCUCAAAGAGGAAGAGGAUAGAAUGCGGGAAGAAAUAGGAAGGAAGAUGGACAUCUUAAAGCAGGAAAGUUGUGAAAUCAAAAGACUUAGAGAUGAAAUUGACAGUGAAAAGGACCAGCUGUAUGCAAAAUUGCUUGAGUUGGAAAAAAUGCAUGAAGAACUAGAUAGAGAGAAGAAGGAAGUGAAAGACAGGAAGGAUGAAACACUGAAAGAGAAAGAUCAGUUGGAAGAGAGGCGAGGUAAGAUAAGUAAGGAGAAAGAGGAAUUGGAUAUCAGUCUUGAACUGAUGAAAAGACAAAGGGAAGACUUGAUGAGCUUGAAGGAUGAAGCAGAAGUACAGACCGAGCCUAUGGAAACAGACUGGAAGGAAAAGCUCACGAGGGAAAGACAACAACUUGAAGAUGUAAAGGAGGAGAUACAGAAGGAAAAAGAAGCCUUUGAGAGAAAGAAGGGAUUGACCAUGAAAGAAAGAGAUGAGUUUGAUCUGAUGAAGUCUGAAACCCAGGGACAAUUGGAGGAAAUAGAACAAAACAAACAAGACAUUCGUGUGGAGAAGGAAAAGCUGGAUCAGAUCAAAGCUGAGUUAGAAAGACGGUCUGAAGACAUCAAUCAGCUCAUGGAUGAGACAAGACAGGAGAGGGGGAAGGUUGAAGAACUGGCUAUCCAAACUCAAAAACAAAGAGAAGAAAUGGUGGGUUUUAUGGAAAAGAACAAACAAAAGCAGAACGAACUGGAACUCAUGACUGACAAGAUUGAAAGAGAGAAACGAGACAUCGAAGACAGUCGGGAUGUGCUAACAAAGGAGAGAGAGGAGCUGGAACAAAUGAGGAGUGAGAUACAGCAACAGAGAGAGGAGACAGAAUCUCACAUGGAAGACCAAAGGAAAGAGAAAGAACAUUUGGAACAAAUGACGACGGACAUGAAAAAACAGUUGCUAGAGGUGGACAAUGACAAGGAAAUGAUACAAAGCUCAAUGGGUGAACUGAGAGUGAAAGAGGCAGAAAUGGUGAGAGAAAAAGACAACAUGGAUAACAAGAUGGCUAGGCUCAAAGAGGAAGAGGAUAGAAUGCGGGAAGAAAUAGGAAGGAAGAUGGACAUCUUAAAGCAGGAAAGUUGUGAAAUCAAAAGACUUAGAGAUGAAAUUGACAGUGAAAAGGACCAGCUGUAUGCAAAAUUGCUUGAGUUGGAAAAAAUGCAUGAAGAACUAGAUAGAGAGAAGAAGGAAGUGAAAGACAGGAAGGAUGAAACACUGAAAGAGAAAGAUCAGUUGGAAGAGAGGCGAGGUAAGAUAAGUAAGGAGAAAGAGGAAUUGGAUAUCAGUCUUGAACUGAUGAAAAGACAAAGGGAAGACUUGAUGAGCUUGAAGGAUGAAGCAGAAGUACAGACCGAGCCUAUGGAAACAGACUGGAAGGAAAAGCUCACGAGGGAAAGACAACAACUUGAAGAUGUAAAGGAGGAGAUACAGAAGGAAAAAGAAGCCUUUGAGAGAAAGAAGGGAUUGACCAUGAAAGAAAGAGAUGAGUUUGAUCUGAUGAAGUCUGAAACCCAGGGACAAUUGGAGGAAAUAGAACAAAACAAACAAGACAUUCGUGUGGAGAAGGAAAAGCUGGAUCAGAUCAAAGCUGAGUUAGAAAGACGGUCUGAAGACAUCAAUCAGCUCAUGGAUGAGACAAGACGGGAGAGGGGGAAGGUUGAAGAACUGGCUAUCCAAACUCAAAAACAAAGAGAAGAAAUGGUGGGUUUUAUGGAAAAGAACAAACAAAAGCAGAACGAACUGGAUCUCAUGACUGACAAGAUUGAAAGAGAGAAACAAGACAUCGAAGACAGUCGGGAUGUGCUAACAAAGGAGAGAGAGGAGCUGGAACAAAUGAGGAGUGAGAUACAGCAACAGAGAGAGGAGACAGAAUCUCACAUGGAAGACCAAAGGAAAGAGAAAGAACAUUUGGAACAAAUGACGACGGACAUGAAAAAACAGUUGCUAGAGGUGGACAAUGACAAGGAAAUGAUACAAAGCUCAAUGGGUGAACUGAGAGUGAAAGAGGCAGAAAUGGUGAGAGAAAAAGACAACAUGGAUAACAAGAUGGCUAGGCUCAAAGAGGAAGAGGAUAGAAUGCGGGAAGAAAUAGGAAGGAAGAUGGACAUCUUAAAGCAGGAAAGUUGUGAAAUCAAAAGACUUAGAGAUGAAAUUGACAGUGAAAAGGACCAGCUGUAUGCAAAAUUGCUUGAGUUGGAAAAAAUGCAUGAAGAACUAGAUAGAGAGAAGAAGGAAGUGAAAGACAGGAAGGAUGAAACACUGAAAGAGAAAGAUCAGUUGGAAGAGAGGCGAGGUAAGAUAAGUAAGGAGAAAGAGGAAUUGGAUAUCAGUCUUGAACUGAUGAAAAGACAAAGGGAAGACUUGAUGAGCUUGAAGGCUGAAGCAGAAGUACAGACCGAGCCUAUGGAAACAGACUGGAAGGAAAAGCUCACGAGGGAAAGACAACAACUUGAAGAUGUAAAGGAGGAGAUACAGAAGGAAAAAGAAGCCCUUGAGAGAAAGAAGGGAUUGACCAUGAAAGAAAGAGAUGAGUUUGAUCUGAUGAAGUCUGAAACCCAGGGACAAUUGGAGGAAAUAGAACAAAACAAACAAGACAUUCGUGUGGAGAAGGAAAAGCUGGAUCAGAUCAAAGCUGAGUUAGAAAGACGGUCUGAAGACAUCAAUCAGCUCAUGGAUGAGACAAGACGGGAGAGGGGGAAGGUUGAAGAACUGGCUAUCCAAACUCAAAAACAAAGAGAAGAAAUGGUGGGUUUUAUGGAAAAGAACAAACAAAAGCAGAACGAACUGGAUCUCAUGACUGACAAGAUUGAAAGAGAGAAACAAGACAUCGAAGACAGUCGGGAUGUGCUAACAAAGGAGAGAGAGGAGCUGGAACAAAUGAGGAGUGAGAUACAGCAACAGAGAGAGGAGACAGAAUCUCACAUGGAAGACCAAAGGAAAGAGAAAGAACAUUUGGAACAAAUGACGACGGACAUGAAAAAACAGUUGCUAGAGGUGGACAAUGACAAGGAAAUGAUACAAAGCUCAAUGGGUGAACUGAGAGUGAAAGAGGCAGAAAUGGUGAGAGAAAAAGACAACAUGGAUAACAAGAUGGCUAGGCUCAAAGAGGAAGAGGAUAGAAUGCGGGAAGAAAUAGGAAGGAAGAUGGACAUCUUAAAGCAGGAAAGUUGUGAAAUCAAAAGACUUAGAGAUGAAAUUGACAGUGAAAAGGACCAGCUGUAUGCAAAAUUGCUUGAGUUGGAAAAAAUGCAUGAAGAACUAGAUAGAGAGAAGAAGGAAGUGAAAGACAGGAAGGAUGAAACACUGAAAGAGAAAGAUCAGUUGGAAGAGAGGCGAGGUAAGAUAAGUAAGGAGAAAGAGGAAUUGGAUAUCAGUCUUGAACUGAUGAAAAGACAAAGGGAAGACUUGAUGAGCUUGAAGGCUGAAGCAGAAGUACAGACCGAGCCUAUGGAAACAGACUGGAAGGAAAAGCUCACGAGGGAAAGACAACAACUUGAAGAUGUAAAGGAGGAGAUACAGAAGGAAAAAGAAACCUUUGAGAGAAAGAAGGGAUUGACCAUGAAAGAAAGAGAUGAGUUUGAUCUGAUGAAGUCUGAAACCCAGGGACAAUUGGAGGAAAUAGAACAAAACAAACAAGACAUUCGUGUGGAGAAGGAAAAGCUGGAUCAGAUCAAAGCUGAGUUAGAAAGACGGUCUGAAGACAUCAAUCAGCUCAUGGAUGAGACAAGACGGGAGAGGGGGAAGGUUGAAGAACUGGCUAUCCAAACUCAAAAACAAAGAGAAGAAAUGGUGGGUUUUAUGGAAAAGAACAAACAAAAGCAGAACGAACUGGAUCUCAUGACUGACAAGAUUGAAAGAGAGAAACAAGACAUCGAAGACAGUCGGGAUGUGCUAACAAAGGAGAGAGAGGAGCUGGAACAAAUGAGGAGUGAGAUACAGCAACAGAGAGAGGAGACAGAAUCUCACAUGGAAGACCAAAGGAAAGAGAAAGAACAUUUGGAACAAAUGACGACGGACAUGAAAAAACAGUUGCUAGAGGUGGACAAUGACAAGGAAAUGAUACAAAGCUCAAUGGGUGAACUGAGAGUGAAAGAGGCAGAAAUGGUGAGAGAAAAAGACAACAUGGAUAACAAGAUGGCUAGGCUCAAAGAGGAAGAGGAUAGAAUGCGGGAAGAAAUAGGAAGGCAGAUGGACAUCUUAAAGCAGGAAAGUUGUGAAAUCAAAAGACUUAGAGAUGAAAUUGACAGUGAAAAGGACCAGCUGUAUGCAAAAUUGCUUGAGUUGGAAAAAAUGCAUGAAGAACUAGAUAGAGAGAAGAAGGAAGUGAAAGACAGGAAGGAUGAAACACUGAAAGAGAAAGAUCAGUUGGAAGAGAGGCGAGGUAAGAUAAGUAAGGAGAAAGAGGAAUUGGAUAUCAGUCUUGAACUGAUGAAAAGACAAAGGGAAGACUUGAUGAGCUUGAAGGCUGAAGCAGAAGUACAGACCGAGCCUAUGGAAACAGACUGGAAGGAAAAGCUCACGAGGGAAAGACAACAACUUGAAGAUGUAAAGGAGGAGAUACAGAAGGAAAAAGAAGCCCUUGAGAGAAAGAAGGGAUUGACCAUGAAAGAAAGAGAUGAGUUUGAUCUGAUGAAGUCUGAAACCCAGGGACAAUUGGAGGAAAUAGAACAAAACAAACAAGACAUUCGUGUGGAGAAGGAAAAGCUGGAUCAGAUCAAAGCUGAGUUAGAAAGACGGUCUGAAGACAUCAAUCAGCUCAUGGAUGAGACAAGACGGGAGAGGGGGAAGGUUGAAGAACUGGCUAUCCAAACUCAAAAACAAAGAGAAGAAAUGGUGGGUUUUAUGGAAAAGAACAAACAAAAGCAGAACGAACUGGAACUCAUGACUGACAAGAUUGAAAGAGAGAAACAAGACAUCGAAGACAGUCGGGAUGUGCUAACAAAGGAGAGAGAGGAGCUGGAACAAAUGAGGAGUGAGAUACAGCAACAGAGAGAGGAGACAGAAUCUCACAUGGAAGACCAAAGGAAAGAGAAAGAACAUUUGGAACAAAUGACGACGGACAUGAAAAAACAGUUGCUAGAGGUGGACAAUGACAAGGAAAUUAUACAAAGCUCAAUGGGUGAACUGAGAGUGAAAGAGGCAGAAAUGGUGAGAGAAAAAGACAACAUGGAUAACAAGAUGGCUAGGCUCAAAGAGGAAGAGGAUAGAAUGCGGGAAGAAAUAGGAAGGAAGAUGGACAUCUUAAAGCAGGAAAGUUGUGAAAUCAAAAGACUUAGAGAUGAAAUUGACAGUGAAAAGGACCAGCUGAAUGCAAAAUUGCUUGAGUUGGAAAAAAUGCGUGAAGAACAAGAUAGAGAGAAGAAGGAAGUGAAAGACAGGAAGGAUGAAACACUGAAAGAGAAAGAUCAGUUGGAAGAGAGGCGAGGUAAGAUAAGUAAGGAGAAAGAGGAAUUGGAUAUCAGUCUUGAACUGAUGAAAAGACAAAGGGAAGACUUGACGAGCUUGAAGGCUGAAGCAGAAGUACAGACCGAACCUAUGGAAACAGACUGGAAGGAAAAGCUCACGAUGGAAAGACAACAACUUGAAGAUGUAAAGGAGGAGAUACAGAAGGAAAAAGAAACCUUUGAGAGAAAGAAGGGAUUGACCAUGAAAGAAAGAGAUGAGUUUGAUCUGAUGAAGUCUGAAACCCAGGGACAAUUGGAGGAAAUAGAACAAAACAAACAAGACAUUCGUGUGGAGAAGGAAAAGCUGGAUCAGAUCAAAGCUGAGUUAGAAAGACGGUCUGAAGACAUCAAUCAUGUCAUGGAUGAGACAAGACGGGAGAGGGGGAAGGUUGAAGAACUGGCUAUCCAAACUCAAAAACAAAGAGAAGACAUGGUGGGUUUUAUGGAAAAGAACAAACAAAAGCAGAACGAACUGGAACUCAUGAAUGACAAGAUUGAAAGAGAGAAACAAGACAUCGAAGACAGUCGGGAUGUGCUAACAAAGGAGAGAGUGGAGCUGGAACAAAUGAGGAGUGAGAUACAGCAACAGAGAGAGGAGACAGAAUCUCACAUGGAAGACCAAAGGAAAGAGAAAGAGCAUUUGGAACAAAUGACGACGGACAUGAAAAAACAGUUGCUAGAGGUGGACAAUGACAAGGAAAUGAUACAAAGUUCAAUGGGUGAACUGAGAGUGAAAGAGGCAGAAAUGGUGAGAGAAAAAGACAACAUGGAUAACAAGAUGGCUAGGCUCAAUGAGGAAGAGGAUAGAAAGCGGGAAGAAAUAGGAAGGAAAAUGGACAUCUUAAAGCAGGAAAGUUGUGAAAUCACAAGACUUAGAGAUGAAAUUGACAGUGAAAAGGACCAGCUGAAUGCAAAAUUGCUUGAGUUGGAAAAAAUGCGUGAAGAACUAGAUAGACAGAAGAAGGAAGUGAAAGACAGGAAGGAUGAAACACUGAAAGAGAAAGAUCAGUUGGAAGAGAGGCGAGGUAAGAUAAGUAAGGAGAAAGAGGAAUUGGAUAUCAGUCUUGAACUGAUGAAAAGACAAAGGGAAGACUUGACGAGCUUGAAGGCUGAAGCAGAAGUACAGACCGAACCUAUGGAAACAGACUGGAAGGAAAAGCUCACGAGGGAAAGACAACAACUUCAAGAUGUAAAGGAGGAGAUACAGAAGGAAAAAGAAACCUUUGAGAGAAAGAAGGGAUUGACCAUGAAAGAAAGAGAUGAGUUUGAUCUGAUGAAGUCUGAAACCCAGGGACAAUUGGAGGAAAUAGAACAAAACAAACAAGACAUUCGUGUGGAGAAGGAAAAGCUGGAUCAGAUCAAAGCUGAGUUAGAAAGACGGUCUGAAGACAUCAAUCAUGCUCAUGGAUGAGACAAGACGGGAGAGGGGGAAGGUUGAAGAACUGGCUAUCCAAACUCAAAAACAAAGAGAAGACAUGGUGGGUUUUAUGGAAAAGAACAAACAAAAGCAGAACGAACUGGAACUCAUGAAUGACAAGAUUGAAAGAGAGAAACAAGACAUCGAAGACAGUCGGGAUGUGCUAACAAAGGAGAGAGUGGAGCUGGAACAAAUGAGGAGUGAGAUACAGCAACAGAGAGAGGAGACAGAAUCUCACAUGGAAGACCAAAGGAAAGAGAAAGAGCAUUUGGAACAAAUGACGACGGACAUGAAAAAACAGUUGCUAGAGGUGGACAAUGACAAGGAAAUGAUACAAAGUUCAAUGGGUGAACUGAGAGUGAAAGAGGCAGAAAUGGUGAGAGAAAAAGACAACAUGGAUAACAAGAUGGCUAGGCUCAAUGAGGAAGAGGAUAGAAAGCGGGAAGAAAUAGGAAGGAAAAUGGACAUCUUAAAGCAGGAAAGUUGUGAAAUCACAAGACUUAGAGAUGAAAUUGACAGUGAAAAGGACCAGCUGAAUGCAAAAUUGCUUGAGUUGGAAAAAAUGCGUGAAGAACUAGAUAGACAGAAGAAGGAAGUGAAAGACAGGAAGGAUGAAACACUGAAAGAGAAAGAUCAGUUGGAAGAGAGGCGAGGUAAGAUAAGUAAGGAGAAAGAGGAAUUGGAUAUCAGUCUUGAACUGAUGAAAAGACAAAGGGAAGACUUGACGAGCUUGAAGGCUGAAGCAGAAGUACAGACCGAACCUAUGGAAACAGACUGGAAGGAAAAGCUCACGAGGGAAAGACAACAACUUCAAGAUGUAAAAGAGGAGAUACAGAAGGAAAAAGAAACCUUUGAGAGAAAGAAGGGAUUGACCAUGAAAGAAAGAGAUGAGUUUGAUCUGAUGAAGUCUGAAACCCAGGGACAAUUGGAGGAAAUAGAACAAAACAAACAAGACAUUCGUGUGGAGAAGGAAAAGCUGGAUCAGAUCAAAGCUGAGUUAGAAAGACGGUCUGAAGACAUCAAUCAUGUCAUGGAUGAGACAAGACGGGAGAGGGGGAAGGUUGAAGAACUGGCUAUCCAAACUCAAAAACAAAGAGAAGACAUGGUGGGUUUUAUGGAAAAGAACAAACAAAAGCAGAACGAACUGGAACUCAUGAAUGACAAGAUUGAAAGAGAGAAACAAGACAUCGAAGACAGUCGGGAUGUGCUAACAAAGGAGAGAGUGGAGCUGGAACAAAUGAGGAGUGAGAUACAGCAACAGAGAGAGGAGACAGAAUCUCACAUGGAAGACCAAAGGAAAGAGAAAGAGCAUUUGGAACAAAUGACGACGGACAUGAAAAAACAGUUGCUAGAGGUGGACAAUGACAAGGAAAUGAUACAAAGCUCAAUGGGUGAACUGAGAGUGAAAGAGGCAGAAAUGGUGAGAGAAAAAGACAACAUGGAUAACAAGAUGGCUAGGCUCAAAGAGGAAGAGGAUGGAAUGCGGGAAGAAAUAGGAAGGAAGAUGGACAUCUUAAAGCAGGAAAGUUGUGAAAUCAAAAGACUUAGAGAUGAAAUUGACAGUGAAAAGGACCAGCUGAAUGCAAAAUUGCUUGAGUUGGAGAAAAUGCGUGAAGAACUAGAAAGAGAGAAGAAGGAAGUGAACAACAGGAAGGAUGAAACACUGAAAGAGAAAGAUCAGUUGGAAGAGAGGCGAGGUAAGAUGAGCAAGGAGAAAGAGGAAUUGGAUAUCAGUCUUGAACUGAUGAAAAGACAAGGGGAAGACUUGACGAGCUUGAAGGCUGAAGCAGACGCACAGACCGAGGCUAUGGAAACAGACUGGAAGGAAAAGCUCACGAUGGAAAGACAACAACUUGAAGAUGUAAAGGAGGAGAUACAGAAGGAAAAAGAAGCCUUUGAGAGAAAGAAGGGAUUGACCAUGAAAGAAAGAGAUGAGUUUGAUCUGAUGAAGUCUGAAACCCAGGGACAAUUGGAGGAAAUAGAACAAAACAAACAAGACAUUCGUGUGGAGAAGGAAAAGCUGGAUCAGAUCAAAGCUGAGUUAGAAAGACGGUCUGAAGACAUCAAUCAGCUCAUGGAUGAGACAAGACGGGAGAGGGGGAAGGUUGAAGAACUGGCUAUCCAAACUCAAAAACAAAGAGAAGAAAUGGUGGGUUUUAUGGAAAAGAACAAACAAAAGCAGAACGAACUGGAACUCAUGAAUGACAAGAUUGAAAGAGAGAAACAAGACAUCGAAGAAAGUUGGGAUGUGCUAACAAAGGAGAGAGAGGAGCUGGAACAAAUGAGGAGUGAGAUACAGCAACAGAGAGAGGAGACAGAAUCUCACAUGGAAGACCAAAGGAAAGAGAAAGAACAUUUGGAACAAAUGACGACGGACAUGAAAAAACAGUUGCUAAAGGUGGACAAUGACAAGGAAAUGAUACAAAGCUCAAUGUGUGAACUGAGAGUGAAAGAGGCAGAAAUGGUGAGAGAAAAAGACAACAUGGAUAACAAGAUGGCUAGGCUCAAAGAGGAAGAGGAUGGAAUGCGGGAAGAAAUAGGAAGGAAGAUGGACAUCUUAAAGCAGGAAAGUUGUGAAACCAAAAGACUAAGAGAUGAAAUUGACAGUGAAAAGGACCAGCUGAAUGCAAAAUUGCUUGAGUUGGAAAAAAUGCGUGAAGAACUAGAUAGAGAGAAGAAGGAAGUGAAAGACAGGAAGGAUGAAACACUGAAAGAGAAAGAUCAGUUGGAAGAGAGGCGAGGUAAGAUAAGUAAGGAGAAAGAGGAAUUGGAUAUCAGUCUUGAACUGAUGAAAAGACAAAGGGAAGACUUGACAAGCUUGAAGGCUGAAGCAGAAGUACAGACCGAACCUAUGGAAACAGACUGGAAGGAAAAGCUCACGAUGGAAAGACAACAACUUGAAGAUGUAAAGGAGGAGAUACAGAAGGAAAAAGAAGCCUUUGAGAGAAAGAAGGGUUUGACCAUGAAAGAAAGAGAUGAGUUUGAUCUGAUGAAGUCUGAAACACAGGGACAAUUGGAGGAAAUAGAACAAAACAAACAAGACAUUCGUGUGGAGAAGGAAAAGCUGGAUCAGAUCAAAGCUGAGUUAGAAAGACGGUCUGAAGACAUCAAUCAGCUCAUGGAUGAGACAAGACGGGAGAGGGGGAAGGUUGAAGAACUGGCUAUCCAAACUCAAAAACAAAGAGAAGAAAUGGUGGGUUUUAUGGAAAAGAACAAACAAAAGCAGAACGAACUGGAACUCAUGAAUGACAAGAUUGAAAGAGAGAAACAAGACAUCGAAGACAGUCGGGAUGUGCUAACAAAGGAGAGAGUGGAGCUGGAACAAAUGAGGAGUGAGAUACAGCAACAGAGAGAGGAGACAGAAUCUCACAUGGAAGACCAAAGGAAAGAGAAAGAGCAUUUGGAACAAAUGACGACGGACAUGAAAAAACAGUUGCUAGAGGUGGACAAUGACAAGGAAAUGAUACAAAGCUCAAUGGGUGAACUGAGAGUGAAAGAGGCAGAAAUGGUGAGAGAAAAAGACAACAUGGAUAACAAGAUGGCUAGGCUCAAAGAGGAAGAGGAUGGAAUGCGGGAAGAAAUAGGAAGGAAGAUGGACAUCUUAAAGCAGGAAAGUUGUGAAAUCAAAAGACUUAGAGAUGAAAUUGACAGUGAAAAGGACCAGCUGAAUGCAAAAUUGCUUGAGUUGGAGAAAAUGCGUGAAGAACUAGAAAGAGAGAAGAAGGAAGUGAACAACAGGAAGGAUGAAACACUGAAAGAGAAAGAUCAGUUGGAAGAGAGGCGAGGUAAGAUGAGCAAGGAGAAAGAGGAAUUGGAUAUCAGUCUUGAACUGAUGAAAAGACAAAGGGAAGACUUGACAAGCUUGAAGGCUGAAGCAGAAGUACAGACCGAAGCCUAUGGAAACAGACUGGAAGGAAAAGCUCACGAUGGAAAGACAACAACUUGAAGAUGUAAAGGAGGAGAUACAGAAGGAAAAAGAAGCCUUUGAGAGAAAGAAGGGUUUGACCAUGAAAGAAAGAGAUGAGUUUGAUCUGAUGAAGUCUGAAACACAGGGACAAUUGGAGGAAAUAGAACAAAACAAACAAGACAUUCGUGUGGAGAAGGAAAAGCUGGAUCAGAUCAAAGCUGAGUUAGAAAGACGGUCUGAAGACAUCAAUCAGCUCAUGGAUGAGACAAGACGGGAGAGGGGGAAGGUUGAAGAACUGGCUAUCCAAACUCAAAAACAAAGAGAAGAAAUGGUGGGUUUUAUGGAAAAGAACAAACAAAAGCAGAACGAACUGGAACUCAUGAAUGACAAGAUUGAAAGAGAGAAACAAGACAUCGAAGACAGUCGGGAUGUGCUAACAAAGGAGAGAGAGGAGCUGGAACAAAUGAGGAGUGAGAUACAGCAACAA
This is a long non-coding RNA of Oncorhynchus mykiss (rainbow trout), 17834 nucleotides long. The record is from Ensembl. Lineage: Eukaryota; Metazoa; Chordata; Actinopteri; Salmoniformes; Salmonidae.